This 3004-nucleotide ribosomal RNA is filed under the name Salmonella enterica subsp. enterica serovar Heidelberg. RNAcentral's name for it is "23S ribosomal RNA". It matches the Rfam family "Bacterial large subunit ribosomal RNA". Lineage: Bacteria; Pseudomonadati; Pseudomonadota; Gammaproteobacteria; Enterobacterales; Enterobacteriaceae. The record is from RNAcentral.
GGUUAAGCGACUAAGCGUACACGGUGGAUGCCCUGGCAGUCAGAGGCGAUGAAGGGCGUGCUAAUCUGCGAUAAGCGCCGGUAAGGUGAUAUGAACCGUUAUAACCGGCGAUACCCGAAUGGGGAAACCCAGUGUGACUCGUCACACUAUCAUUAACUGAAUCCAUAGGUUAAUGAGGCGAACCGGGGGAACUGAAACAUCUAAGUACCCGAGGAAAAGAAAUCAACCGAGAUUCCCCCAGUAGCGGCGAGCGAACGGGGAGGAGCCCAGAGCCUGAAUCAGCAUGUGUGUUAGUGGAAGCGUCUGGAAAGGCGCGCGAUACAGGGUGACAGCCCCGUACACAAAAGCGCAUGUGCUGUGAGCUCGAUGAGUAGGGCGGGACACGUGGUAUCCUGUCUGAAUAUGGGGGGACCAUCCUCCAAGGCUAAAUACUCCUGACUGACCGAUAGUGAACCAGUACCGUGAGGGAAAGGCGAAAAGAACCCCGGCGAGGGGAGUGAAAAAGAACCUGAAACCGUGUACGUACAAGCAGUGGGAGCCCCACCACCAAAGCAUUCUCUGGUGUUGAAGGCCCUGCAAAGCAGCAUCGCGGUGGCGGAGCGUCGUUUGCGACGCCCAACACACAAAACAAGCGGUGAAUGCUUUGGGGUGGGGUGACUGCGUACCUUUUGUAUAAUGGGUCAGCGACUUAUAUUCUGUAGCAAGGUUAACCGAAUAGGGGAGCCGGAGGGAAACCGAGUCUUAAUUGGGCGUUAAGUUGCAGGGUAUAGACCCGAAACCCGGUGAUCUAGCCAUGGGCAGGUUGAAGGUUGGGUAACACUAACUGGAGGACCGAACCGACUAAUGUUGAAAAAUUAGCGGAUGACCUGUGGCUGGGGGUGAAAGGCCAAUCAAACCGGGAGAUAGCUGGUUCUCCCCGAAAGCUAUUUAGGUAGCGCCUCGUGAAUUCAUCUCCGGGGGUAGAGCACUGUUUCGGCUAGGGGGCCAUCCCGGCUUACCAACCCGAUGCAAACUGCGAAUACCGGAGAAUGUUAUCACGGGAGACACACGGCGGGUGCUAACGUCCGUCGUGAAGAGGGAAACAACCCAGACCGCCAGCUAAGGUCCCAAAGUCAUGGUUAAGUGGGAAACGAUGUGGGAAGGCCCAGACAGCCAGGAUGUUGGCUUAGAAGCAGCCAUCAUUUAAAGAAAGCGUAAUAGCUCACUGGUCGAGUCGGCCUGCGCGGAAGAUGUAACGGGGCUAAACCAUGCACCGAAGCUGCGGCAGCGACGCUGAUGCGUUGUUGGGUAGGGGAGCGUUCUGUAAGCCUGCGAAGGUGACCUGUGAGGGUUGCUGGAGGUAUCAGAAGUGCGAAUGCUGACAUAAGUAACGAUAAAGCGGGUGAAAAGCCCGCUCGCCGGAAGACCAAGGGUUCCUGUCCAACGUUAAUCGGGGCAGGGUGAGUCGACCCCUAAGGCGAGGCCGAAAGGCGUAGUCGAUGGGAAACGGGUUAAUAUUCCCGUACUUGGUGUUACUGCGAAGGGGGGACGGAGAAGGCUAUGUUGGCCGGGCGACGGUUGUCCCGGUUUAAGCGUGUAGGUGUGUGUUCCAGGUAAAUCCGGUUCACUUUAACACUGAGGCGUGAUGACGAGGCACUACGGUGCUGAAGCAACAAAUGCCCUGCUUCCAGGAAAAGCCUCUAAGCAUCAGGUAACAUCAAAUCGUACCCCAAACCGACACAGGUGGUCAGGUAGAGAAUACCAAGGCGCUUGAGAGAACUCGGGUGAAGGAACUAGGCAAAAUGGUGCCGUAACUUCGGGAGAAGGCACGCUGACACGUAGGUGAAGUGAUUUACUCACGGAGCUGAAGUCAGUCGAAGAUACCAGCUGGCUGCAACUGUUUAUUAAAAACACAGCACUGUGCAAACACGAAAGUGGACGUAUACGGUGUGACGCCUGCCCGGUGCCGGAAGGUUAAUUGAUGGGGUCAGCGCAAGCGAAGCUCCUGAUCGAAGCCCCGGUAAACGGCGGCCGUAACUAUAACGGUCCUAAGGUAGCGAAAUUCCUUGUCGGGUAAGUUCCGACCUGCACGAAUGGCGUAAUGAUGGCCAGGCUGUCUCCACCCGAGACUCAGUGAAAUUGAACUCGCUGUGAAGAUGCAGUGUACCCGCGGCAAGACGGAAAGACCCCGUGAACCUUUACUAUAGCUUGACACUGAACAUUGAGCCUUGAUGUGUAGGAUAGGUGGGAGGCUUUGAAGUGUGGACGCCAGUCUGCAUGGAGCCGACCUUGAAAUACCACCCUUUAAUGUUUGAUGUUCUAACGUGGACCCGUUACCCGGGUUGCGGACAGUGUCUGGUGGGUAGUUUGACUGGGGCGGUCUCCUCCUAAAGUAACGGAGGAGCACGAAGGUUGGCUAAUCCUGGUCGGACAUCAGGAGGUUAGUGCAAUGGCAUAAGCCAGCUUGACUGCGAGCGUGACGGCGCGAGCAGGUGCGAAAGCAGGUCAUAGUGAUCCGGUGGUUCUGAAUGGAAGGGCCAUCGCUCAACGGAUAAAAGGUACUCCGGGGAUAACAGGCUGAUACCGCCCAAGAGUUCAUAUCGACGGCGGUGUUUGGCACCUCGAUGUCGGCUCAUCACAUCCUGGGGCUGAAGUAGGUCCCAAGGGUAUGGCUGUUCGCCAUUUAAAGUGGUACGCGAGCUGGGUUUAGAACGUCGUGAGACAGUUCGGUCCCUAUCUGCCGUGGGCGCUGGAGAACUGAGGGGGCUGCUCCUAGUACGAGAGGACCGGAGUGGACGCAUCACUGGUGUUCGGGUUGUCAUGCCAAUGGCACUGCCCGGUAGCUAAAUGCGGAAGAGAUAAGUGCUGAAAGCAUCUAAGCACGAAACUUGCCCCGAGAUGAGUUCUCCCUGAGACUUAAAGUCUCCUGAAGGAACGUUGAAGACGACGACGUUGAUAGGCCGGGUGUGUAAGCGCAGCGAUGCGUUGAGCUAACCGGUACUAAUGAACCGUGAGGCUUAACCUU